UUAAAACUAAUUUUAAUAUUCAAAAAACGAACCAAAGGAAAAAUAUAUGGGCUGCAAGAAAUUGAUUUAUUUUUAGUCUUUCUAAUGCCUAGAUAUUUCCCUGCAUAUUUUAACAAUUAAAAAUUGUAGCAGUUAAUUAUUGUUUUGUAAAAGGCUUUCUAAAGGUCAGAGUGAGCGGCUUCUUUACAGCAGGAGGUUUUUGUACGACCACUGAGCGAGUUUGUAUCACUGUGGAGCACUUUUGGUGGCGGCACAAAACUCUCAGUUGGACGUGAGUAUCUUUCACUGCUUAUCCAAAAGUUCGUAUUUUCUGAAAUAAUAAUCGAUAUGUUUGAUCUUUGAUAAUGAUGGAGACUUAAAACAUGUUGCGGUUGCAUUUCUUGUGCUUUACGGUGCAACAGGUGUUACGAGUAAACGAGAUUGUAGCUCUGUGGUGGACUUUCGGUGGCGGAACAAAACUAUCAGUUGGACGUGACGCCCCGCCCACCCUCACGGUCCUGCCCCCCUCCAGUGUACAGCUGCAGCAGGAGAAGGUCACACUCGUGUGUCUGGCCAACAAGGGCUUCCCCUCAGACUGGAAGCUGAGCUGGAAGGUGGCUGGUAGCAGCUGGAGCUCGGGGGUGAGCCAGAGCUCCGGGCUUCUGCAGAAGGACGGCCUCUACAGCUGGAGCAGCACCCUGACCCUCCAGAAGGAGGAGUGGCUGAAGAAGACAGUGACCUGUGAGGCCACCAAGGACUCCCAGUCUCCUGUCACACAGACACUGAGUAGAGAGCAGUGUGUUUAA
Electrophorus electricus (electric eel) is the source of this 785-nucleotide non-coding RNA. Lineage: Eukaryota; Metazoa; Chordata; Actinopteri; Gymnotiformes; Gymnotidae. The record is from the annotation of a RefSeq genome assembly.